RNAcentral lists this ribosomal RNA (1556 nucleotides) under Escherichia coli. RNAcentral describes it as "partial 23S ribosomal RNA". It matches the Rfam family "Bacterial large subunit ribosomal RNA", at positions 1290 to 2925 of the family's 2925-position model. The record is from RNAcentral. Lineage: Bacteria; Pseudomonadati; Pseudomonadota; Gammaproteobacteria; Enterobacterales; Enterobacteriaceae.
GCGAAUGCUGACAUAAGUAACGAUAAAGCGGGUGAAAAGCCCGCUCGCCGGAAGACCAAGGGUUCCUGUCCAACGUUAAUCGGGGCAGGGUGAGUCGACCCCUAAGGCGAGGCCGAAAGGCGUAGUCGAUGGGAAACAGGUUAAUAUUCCUGUACUUGGUGUUACUGCGAAGGGGGGACGGAGAAGGCUAUGUUGGCCGGGCGACGGUUGUCCCGGUUUAAGCGUGUAGGCUGGUUUUCCAGGCAAAUCCGGAAAACCAAGGCUGAGGCGUGAUGACGAGGCACUACGGUGCUGAAGCGACAAAUGCCCUGCUUCCAGGAAAAGCCUCUAAGCAUCAGGUAACAUCAAAUCGUACCCCAAACCGACACAGGUGGUCAGGUAGAGAAUACCAAGGCGCUUGAGAGAACUCGGGUGAAGGAACUAGGCAAAAUGGUGCCGUAACUUCGGGAGAAGGCACGCUGAUAUGUAGGUGAAGCGACUUGCUCGUGGAGCUGAAAUCAGUCGAAGAUACCAGCUGGCUGCAACUGUUUAUUAAAAACACAGCACUGUGCAAACACGAAAGUGGACGUAUACGGUGUGACGCCUGCCCGGUGCCGGAAGGUUAAUUGAUGGGGUUAGCGGCAACGCGAAGCUCUUGAUCGAAGCCCCGGUAAACGGCGGCCGUAACUAUAACGGUCCUAAGGUAGCGAAAUUCCUUGUCGGGUAAGUUCCGACCUGCACGAAUGGCGUAAUGAUGGCCAGGCUGUCUCCACCCGAGACUCAGUGAAAUUGAACUCGCUGUGAAGAUGCAGUGUACCCGCGGCAAGACGGAAAGACCCCGUGAACCUUUACUAUAGCUUGACACUGAACAUUGAGCCUUGAUGUGUAGGAUAGGUGGGAGGCUUUGAAGUGUGGACGCCAGUCUGCAUGGAGCCGACCUUGAAAUACCACCCUUUAAUGUUUGAUGUUCUAACGUUGGCCCCUAAUCGGGGUUGCGGACAGUGUCUGGUGGGUAGUUUGACUGGGGCGGUCUCCUCCUAAAGAGUAACGGAGGAGCACGAAGGUUGGCUAAUCCUGGUCGGACAUCAGGAGGUUAGUGCAAUGGCAUAAGCCAGCUUGACUGCGAGCGUGACGGCGCGAGCAGGUGCGAAAGCAGGUCAUAGUGAUCCGGUGGUUCUGAAUGGAAGGGCCAUCGCUCAACGGAUAAAAGGUACUCCGGGGAUAACAGGCUGAUACCGCCCAAGAGUUCAUAUCGACGGCGGUGUUUGGCACCUCGAUGUCGGCUCAUCACAUCCUGGGGCUGAAGUAGGUCCCAAGGGUAUGGCUGUUCGCCAUUUAAAGUGGUACGCGAGCUGGGUUUAGAACGUCGUGAGACAGUUCGGUCCCUAUCUGCCGUGGGCGCUGGAGAACUGAGGGGGGCUGCUCCUAGUACGAGAGGACCGGAGUGGACGCAUCACUGGUGUUCGGGUUGUCAUGCCAAUGGCACUGCCCGGUAGCUAAAUGCGGAAGAGAUAAGUGCUGAAAGCAUCUAAGCACGAAACUUGCCCCGAGAUGAGUUCUCCCUGAGACUUAGAGUC